GUAAUGUCUGGGAAACUGCCUGAUGGAGGGGGAUAACUACUGGAAACGGUAGCUAAUACCGCAUAACGUCGCAAGACCAAAGAGGGGGACCUUCGGGCCUCUUGCCAUCAGAUGUGCCCAGAUGGGAUUAGCUAGUAGGUGGGGUAACGGCUCACCUAGGCGACGAUCCCUAGCUGGUCUGAGAGGAUGACCAGCCACACUGGAACUGAGACACGGUCCAGACUCCUACGGGAGGCAGCAGUGGGGAAUAUUGCACAAUGGGCGCAAGCCUGAUGCAGCCAUGCCGCGUGUAUGAAGAAGGCCUUCGGGUUGUAAAG
RNAcentral lists this ribosomal RNA (317 nucleotides) under Klebsiella michiganensis. RNAcentral's name for it is "bacterial SSU rRNA". It matches the Rfam family "Bacterial small subunit ribosomal RNA", at positions 110 to 430 of the family's 1533-position model. Lineage: Bacteria; Pseudomonadati; Pseudomonadota; Gammaproteobacteria; Enterobacterales; Enterobacteriaceae. The record is from RNAcentral.